This 301-nucleotide ribosomal RNA is filed under the name uncultured bacterium. RNAcentral's name for it is "partial 16S ribosomal RNA". It matches the Rfam family "Bacterial small subunit ribosomal RNA", at positions 509 to 807 of the family's 1533-position model. The record is from RNAcentral.
CAGUAGCCGCGGGAAUACGAAGGGGGCUAGCGUUGCUCGGAAUCACUGGGCGUAAAGGGUGCGUAGGCGGGUCUUUAAGUCAGGGGUGAAAUCCUGGAGCUCAACUCCAGAACUGCCUUUGAUACUGAAGAUCUUGAGUUCGGGAGAGGUGAGUGGAACUGCGAGUGUAGAGGUGAAAUUCGUAGAUAUUCGCAAGAACACCAGUGGCGAAGGCGGCUCACUGGCCCGAUACUGACGCUGAGGCACGAAAGCGUGGGGAGCAAACAGGAUUAGAUACCCCCGUAGUCCCUGUCUCUUAUAC